CUCCAACAAGGAUAAUCUGUUUACCUUUUAUGGUUGGAGAGCUCCGUGGGCUCCAUAGAAUCCUUUCUCUGAGCGACAGAUGAAGAGAUUGCUACAAGAAAAGAGGAGCUAGAGAUAAUAACAAAUUUCCUGAGGGACUUUCCAGUUUGG
Long non-coding RNA from Mauremys reevesii (Reeves's turtle), 150 nucleotides. RefSeq lists it as uncharacterized. NCBI's taxonomy places the organism in Eukaryota, Metazoa, Chordata, Testudines, Geoemydidae. The record is from RefSeq and is a predicted model, not a curated record. The transcript has 3 exons.